GUAGGGAAUCUUCCACAAUGGACGCAAGUCUGAUGGAGCAACGCCGCGUGAGUGAAGAAGGUCUUCGGAUCGUAAAGCUCUGUUGUUGGUGAAGAAGGAUAGAGGCAGUAACUGGUCUCUAUUUGACGGUAAUCAACCAGAAAGUCACGGCUAACUACGUGCCAGCAGCCGCGGUAAUACGUAGGUGGCAAGCGUUGUCCGGAUUUAUUGGGCGUAAAGCGAGCGCAGGCGGAAUGAUAAGUCUGAUGUGAAAGCCCACGGCUCAACCGUGGAACUGCAUCGGAAACUGUCAUUCUUGAGUGCAGAAGAGGAGAGUGGAACUCCAUGUGUAGCGGUGGAAUGCGUAGAUAUAUGGAAGAACACCAGUGGCGAAGGCGGCUCUCUGGUCUGCAACUGACGCUGAGGCUCGAAAGCAUGGGUAGCGAACAGGAUUAGAUACCCUGGUAGUCCAUGCCGUAAACGAUGAGCGCUAGGUGUUGGGGACUUUCCGGUCCUCAGUGCCGCAGCAAACGCAUUAAGCGCUCCGCCUGGGGAGUACGACCGCAAGGUUGAAAC
This 555-nucleotide ribosomal RNA is filed under the name uncultured bacterium. RNAcentral's name for it is "partial 16S ribosomal RNA". It matches the Rfam family "Bacterial small subunit ribosomal RNA", at positions 354 to 900 of the family's 1533-position model. The record is from RNAcentral.